CCUACGGGAGACAGCAGUGGGGAAUAUUGGGCAAUGGAGGCAACUCUGACCCAGCAACGCCGCGUGAAUGAUGAAGGUCUUCGGAUUGUAAAGUUCUUUUCUAAGGGAAGAACGGUCACUGUGCUAAUCAGCAGUGAAUUGACGGUACCUGCAAAGGAAGCACCGGCUAACUCCGUGCCAGCAGCCGCGGUAAUACGGAGGAUGCGAGCGUUAUCCGGAUUUAUUGGGUUUAAAGGGUGCGCAGGCGGAAGAUCAAGUCAGCGGUAAAAUUGAGAGGCUCAACCUCUUCGAGCCGUUGAAACUGGUUUUCUUGAGUGAGUGAGAAGUAUGCGGAAUGCGUGGUGUAGCGGUGAAAUGCAUAGAUAUCACGCAGAACUCCGAUUGCGAAGGCAGCAUACCGGCGCUCAACUGACGCUCAUGCACGAAAGUGUGGGUAUCGAACAGGAUUAGAUACCCCAGUAGUC
RNAcentral lists this ribosomal RNA (464 nucleotides) under uncultured bacterium. RNAcentral's name for it is "partial 16S ribosomal RNA". It matches the Rfam family "Bacterial small subunit ribosomal RNA", at positions 338 to 795 of the family's 1533-position model. The record is from RNAcentral.